Molecule: long non-coding RNA, 4553 nt
Organism: Acipenser ruthenus (sterlet)
Lineage: Eukaryota; Metazoa; Chordata; Actinopteri; Acipenseriformes; Acipenseridae
Exons: 4
Source: RefSeq, a predicted model, not a curated record
AUUCUUCUCCUAAUGCAUGAUUAAUGCACCUCCUGCAAAUUCUAUAUUUAGUGUGUUAUGUCAGGAGGAAAUAGCAGGGAGAUCAUCUUUCACAUGAUGGAUGAAAUCACUGUGGAGCACCAAGGGCAGCUGUAGCCUACAAUUUGCCAGAAAUCAGGAUAAUAAAAAAAAAACAAAAAAAACAAUUAUAUAUUAUUUCUCUUUCAUCUCUUUUUUCAUCAGCUUUUCAGACCCCACACCCCCCUCUCCGUGGUACACAGGAAAGGAGCCUGUGAAAUGGAAAUGAGGGCUCCAUAUCAGGGAUCAAAUCGAGGGUGUUCGUGUGCAUGGAAUGUUUUUCUCCAGGAUCUUGGAGUGCUGCCAAGAACAGAACUGGAACGAGGGUGAGUGAGAAUGAGCGAGAGAGAGAAACAGAAAAAACAACGAGGCAGACAGUAAAUGCAAGGUUUUUCCCCCAACAGGAAUGACUGUGUGAAGAGACAGUAUUUAUGGCUUGUGGCAGCUGCGUUAGCUGAUUAGGUACACCGACAAGGCGGAUGGUAAUUGCUUUAACAUUUCCAUACCAAAUUCAGCAGUGAAGGAAAGGAGGAUAUUAUGGCAAACAUCAAAUUCAGAAGUGGAUGGUGGGAUGCUUUACAGUCUAUACCAGCCAAGAUAAAAUUACAGUUCUAGUAUGGUUUCAGCCAGGACAUAGAUAUACUGUAUGUAAAAAUAUUUUGCGGUUAUUUCUGACAGUGAUUUUGAAUGGUUUUCAUUUAUGUACUCUGAACCUGACCUAGUACCCUUGCCUGCCCAUAUCCAGUAUAGGGGCCUUAUCAGGAAGAAUAUUCAAGCAGCUUUAAACAGACUCAAUACUAUUCCCUUCAACACAUACAUACUACUUUUCAACCUAAAAACGGAGGAUUUUCUGUUUGCAUCAGUCGUGUACUCUAUCUCCGUGGAGAUUCUCAAAGACCAUGAAAAAUAUCAAUCCGUUCACUGGAAACAGACAUGACAGAGAACGCAAGCGCCUUGGUGACCCAGGGGUGACAAUGUCCUUCAAUUAGCAUUUUUCUAGGUCACUGAGUGGACAGACACAAAAUACCAUCACAACAACUGUCAAUGAACCAAAAAAAGGCAUUAAAUAAGCAUCUCUUCACAGCUGUAUGCAAAAUGAGUGCAAAAUGACUGCUGUGAUUGUAUACUAUGUUACUGACCCUUAUCCAGUAGUGUAUAAUAAUCUGGUAGUACUAUGACAUGAUUUAUUGUUUGUUAACUGGUGUAUUAAUGUAACUACCUUCCCUAUUGUUAAUUGUACAGUACAUUUAAACAAGCUGGCUUCAACAUUAAAGAUAUUAAUGAAAACAAAACAAGGUUUAAAUUCAGUGUAUUUCCAGUCUAGUCUGAACCAGUUUGUACUGUCUGCAUUGUCACUUGAGCAUGGCCAGGUUUACCAUGGCUUUCUCUGCUUUACUACCAUAUUCAUCUGCCAUUUAUUCUGCACACUUUUACUUGUGAGAUACCUUUAAGAACCAUGCUAUUGGAGGGAUUCUCUUUUGGAUGAUGCAUUGAACUAUAGUCUGGUCUAUUAUUUAUUAUUAUUAAUAUUAUUUAUUUAUUUGGCAGACGCCUUUAUCCAAGAUGUUACAGGGCAGUACAGGGUUACAAUGCAAGAUUAAUAUCUAAAUACAGUAUAGUUUACAGUAAGUGCAAAUAAUACUACUAAAGUACAAUAUGAACUAGGAUGCAACAAGUAAGGAUUACAGCAAAUUAUUAUCUACAAGGACAUAUUAGUAGUGCAAUAGUGCAAGUAUGGUGCAUUAGCUGAGGAUCCAGUAACAUGUUGCUUAGGUCAGGCAAGUCCAGUGCAUAGUAGGAGGGGUAGACCAAGAGAUCUACGAGUGCAGUCUAAACAGGUGGGUCUUGAGGAGGAGGCGGGCAGUGAGAGACGGAGCAGUCCUGAAGUUCUCCCGGAGCUGGUUCCACCACAGAGGGGCUAGGAAAGAGAAGGAGCAGGCACAGGAGAAUGGAGAGUGGAGGGAAGGCAUGACCAGUUGGCCAGUAGAGGAGGAGCGGAGAGGACGAGAGGGGGUGUAGGAGACACGAGGGAUUGGAGUAUGGUAAGUACAUCGCUCUGACUGAGGGAUUCACUGCACCCAUCAACACACAGGGGGAUUACUGUUACAUCAAACUCUGGUUGAGAAAGCAAUAGCAAGAGUGCAAGCCUCUGGCAAGCUGCCAGCAUCUAAAAAUUGAAAAACAUCAACGUCACUGUUGCCUAGCUUCAUGUGCUAUCUACUACUGUACAGAACAGGAUUUCCACCUCUUCAUACACCCAUUUUUUAUUCUGAAAAUACAAUAAAUAUAUAUUUUUCAGCGGCUGUGAUAAAACUACUUACAGAGCCUCUUCUCGUAUAAACGGAAGGGACAAGGUGUGGGGAAAUGACGUGCAGCUCUCCAGGCAGAUGUCUUUCACUGGAGUCGCAUUUCAAAAUGAGAAAGUCUGCAACCAGCCUUAACCCUUUCAGAACCAAGCAUUUUCCAGUGGGAUGCUCCCCAGGACCAGGUGUUUUUUGGCUGUAUUUGACUCUCUUCCUAUAAAAAUUUACUAGCAUCUUGGAAAUGGUGUCCUUCUUUUUAGAACACUAUAAAGUACUUCAGAAACCAUACAAACGUUUUGCUUUUUUUGAACACAAUAUUUCUUUUUUGUUGUUUUUUUUUAAAGUACAUGUAUACCAAACUCAUAUAUACCAAACAGUUAUCCUAUUUACAUGUUAUAUCCAUGCUAUUUGCUUAUUUAUUGAUUUAAGAACAUUCCUAUUAUUACAGAAAGACAAAUAUAGAUGUUGAUGAAUGCUGUUUUGUCAAGUCUAAUUGUACUGUUUGUUAUUAUUAGAUGGCUAACACGAUCCGCAGCUGUCGCUUAAGGCCAGCACAAACCCGGACAACACUUCACCAUUGUUCACGGAUAAAUUAUCUUGAGCUUGGUUGGCAGUAAUUCGAGGAGGCUGUGUGGUCCAGUGGUUAAAGAAAAGGGCUUGUAACCAAGAGGUCCCCGAUUCAAAUCCCGACUCACUCACCUACUCACUGUGUGACCCUGAGCAAGUCACUUGACCUCCUUGGCUCCUUCUUUUGGCUCACCACUGUCGCCCCUGCGCUGACUCAGAAGAGACAAAGACGGAUUCACGCGUCCUCCGAAACGUGUGCCGUCAGCUUCUUUUCACUCUGCAGGCCUGCCCUGCAGCCACCUCAGAGCUACAGCACCGGAGGACCACGCAGCUCUGGGCAAUUUACAGGCAGGCCCAUCUACAGGUGCGCGGUGUGCCGAGGACACCCUGGCCGACCUAAGCCCUCCCCAACAGGGCGGCACUCAGCCAAAUGUGCGCCGCCCCCUGGGAACUCCCGUCCAUGGUCAGCAGUGGAAUAGCCUGGACUUGAACCGGCGAAUUCCAGGCUAUAAGGCGCAUCCUGCACUCCACGCAGAGAGCGUUUACCGGGUGCACCAUUCAGGAGCCCAGGACACUGUAGUUUUAAGCUUGUAUAAAAUGGGGUUAAAGUUGUGUAAAAUUCAUCAUUCUUGUUUUGUUUUGAACAAGGAUAGUUGAUAGUGUGCUAUGGAUGUUCAUAUGUAUUUGGAACUGGAAUGUUUAUCUACGUUGAUUUGAAUGAUUACCAAGCAUGUGUCUGCAAAGUUACUCGUGUGCAUUGUAAUCAGAGCUGUUGAGCUCUGUGGUAAAAUGCAGAGUGGUGCAUUUAUCCCGAAUAACAUAAUAAACUGUUGAUUUACUUAUAAACCUCUGAGUGUUUUUUUUUUCUGUGUUUGUGCAUUGCUAAUAAUUUUGCUGUUUAGUGGUAGGGGUGGUCAAACAUAAUUUUAGAUUUUUAUCAAAAACAAAUAAUCAAAUCGAUUUUUGUAAUCAGUUGUCAGAUAACUUAAACAUGUCUGAAAUGAAAAUAUACAAAACAAUGUGAGGAUGCAUGACUGAUCAGCUACUGAUUAUUUUACUAGCUGACAGUCAUGCAUCCUUACCAAACGUGUGCAGACUGUGGCCGAGGGGUAAUAAGAUAAUUAACAGCUAGUUAACCCCUCGGCCAGAGUAUAAGAACCUGCAGCUGCCCGUGCUGCGGGGUGGAGUGUACAAAGGAGAGUACGGGGAGCGGAGAGAGCGAGGAAAAAUAAUAACAUUUAAAAACAACUGCUGAACAGUCUUUGUUUAUUUGUUUGGCCCUUGUGCCUUUUUGUUUUGUGUUUUGUUGUUUUGUUUAAAUCUUUUGUUUUUGUUUUGUUUAUUAAUAAAUUCAGCUGAAGUGCCAUAGCAUUCAGCUUCACCCACCCAUCCAUUGUUUUGGUUUCAGUUACUUCCUGGUCCGUGACGUCACCACACCUCACCACACCAAGCCAUCCUGUCACAGGCAGAUAUCGAUCAUGCACCAGAUUUGACAAAAUCUGAAUUAUUCAUAUAUAAUUGCAGACUUUGCUGCUGCAAAAGCACAAACAGUUCAUUUCUAAAUGUCUCUGUGUGUUUUUUUUGGGAUUUCUGUAGUAAAAUGCAAUACAUUUAAUAGUGUCAUUG